This 253-nucleotide ribosomal RNA is filed under the name uncultured bacterium. RNAcentral's name for it is "partial 16S ribosomal RNA". It matches the Rfam family "Bacterial small subunit ribosomal RNA", at positions 524 to 776 of the family's 1533-position model. The record is from RNAcentral.
UACGGAGGGUGCAAGCGUUGUUCGGAAUCACUGGGCGUAAAGGGCGUGUAGGCGGUCCGCUAAGUCUGAUGUGAAAGCCCGGGGCUCACCCCCGGAAGUGCAUUGGAAACUGACGGACUCGAGUCCCGGAGAGGAGGGUGGAAUUCCUGGUGUAGCGGUGAAAUGCGUAGAUAUCAGGAGGAACACCGGUCGCGAAGGCGGCCCUCUGGACGGUGACUGACGCUGAGACGCGAAAGCGUGGGGAGCAAACAGG